This 465-nucleotide ribosomal RNA is filed under the name uncultured bacterium. RNAcentral describes it as "partial 16S ribosomal RNA". It matches the Rfam family "Bacterial small subunit ribosomal RNA", at positions 28 to 507 of the family's 1533-position model. The record is from RNAcentral.
GACGAACGCUGGCGGCGUGCUUAACACAUGCCAGUCGAACGGAAAGGCCCUGCUUGCAGGGUACUCGAGUGGCGAACGGGUGAGUAACACGUGGGUGAUCUGCCCUGCACUUCGGGAUAAGCCUGGGAAACUGGGUCUAAUACCGGAUAGGAGCCAUUUUUAGUGUGAUGGUUGGAAAGUUUUUUCGGUGUAGGAUGAGCUCGCGGCCUAUCAGCUUGUUGGUGGGGUAAUGGCCUACCAAGGCGGCGACGGGUAGCCGGCCUGAGAGGGUGGACGGCCACAUUGGGACUGAGAUACGGCCCAGACUCCUACGGGAGGCAGCAGUGGGGAAUAUUGCACAAUGGGCGCAAGCCUGAUGCAGCGACGCCGCGUGGGGGAUGACGGCCUUCGGGUUGUAAACUCCUUUCGCUAGAGACGAAGCUUUUUGUGACGGUACCUAGAUAAGAAGCACCGGCUAACUACGUG